AUUGAAAUGCCUGAAAAAGGAUUACUAUGAUAAUGUAAAUUAUAUAUUUUAAUAAUAUUUUCAAUU
RNAcentral lists this transfer RNA (66 nucleotides) under Pristaulacus compressus. Its description in RNAcentral is "tRNA-Ile". The record is from RNAcentral. Lineage: Eukaryota; Metazoa; Arthropoda; Insecta; Hymenoptera; Aulacidae.